UCGACACUUUGUCAACUGGUUUGAUCUGGAUGGCGCGCUUUGGUCACGGCCACAUGUUUUUCCCACAGGUGCUUGCGCUUAGUAAUUACAUCGUUCUUUGUCUAAUAUCUUUCUUCGUUGAAUAUGUAUGUGAUAUUAUGUCCUGAUGUGUUGAAAUGUAUUUUCUAUUUGCUAGUGAUAUUGAAACGAGUGAAGUAUUGAUUAGGCUAUUGAGUGAGAUAUUUAUUUAAAUUGAGGAAAUACCUGUUUAUGUGUAUUUUGGAUUAUCCCAGUGUUAAGGGUUGUGCUAUUUUUUUUUACUUUAUUAGCCUCAGGUGGCUCAUUUUCGGGAAAACUUAGGCUGGAGUGGCAUGUUGUCCUAGCUGGGGCUCUGCUCAACUCAGCUGUGUGAGGAAUUGUUGGCACUCUGCCUGCCUAAAAAGAGGCUAACUUUCUGCACCUGUACAUAAAUUCCACCAUGUUGGGCAUUUUGCCCCUGAUUCCGCCGGACUCCUUCACAACCCCCUGACAAGACGGUUAGUGCUAUCGGGGAACCCUGGGACGUCCCUAACCCGUACUUUCACCAUUUUUAAAUGUAAACUUCAAUGAGUUGCUAUUCAGAAAAACUUAGCCUACCGUAUUUAUUAUGAAUUCAAAUGAAUAUAACACGUAUCAUAUAUAAUGAAGAUUAUUUCAAUAGAUACCGGCGCGGGAUUAGAAUUUAUACAAUUAAUCAUGUGAUUAUUGUCAUUAUAAAAUCAGUAUGCGUGGGAUAUAUUUUGUACUAUUGACCAAUCAGUUUGAAAGUAAACAGAUAUGGACGCAUCAAGGGGCGGCGCUGUUUAACGUGCAGGAAAUCCCAAAGCACAUGCGACACGAACACAGCAACAAAAAAAAACGCUCAUGACGUCUGUGGAUCACAUGAAGGAGGACAAGUGAAAAGAAAGUCCAGGAGGAUCAAAGGAAAGAAUGGAGGAGAAGGUUACAAGUGACAGUGAAGAGGAAGGGGAAGAUUACUACAGAACAGAGGGAGAACGGAUGAAGAAAGCAAAAGCCGCCAUUGUGUCAAUAUUAUCAGCAAGAGAGGAGAAAACAGAGAGGAGUAAGGCGGCGAUGGACAGAAAGGAACAAGAGAUGGAGAGGAUGAAGGAAAAGUGGGAGAAGUUACACAAAAGUGAGGAGAUGGUCUUGGAGGGAUUGGAAGUGGUCAGAGAAGAGAGCGAGCAGUUAAAGGAAGAGAGAGAGCGGAUUCAGACGGAGAACAUUCAAAAGGAGAAAAAAGGCAGAUUGCGAGAGGAAGCGAUGAUCUGAGGAGACCAAGAGUGCAGGCGGUGUCGUACAAGCAGACGUUGGAGAAAGAGGGAGAGGUGUUCAGGGAGGGGAGGUUGGAGAUGAAGGAGCUAAUGGAGAUGCUACUUGAAAAGGAGGAGAUGCUCAAGGAGAGAGAGAUUAGUUUAAAGAAAAGAGAAAGAUGGAGGAGAAAAAGAUGAAGAAGGAAAGGAAGGUCAUUGACUUGGCACGUAUGUUUAUGAGUGAAGUGUUAAAGGCCAUUGAAAAACAGCGGAAGAAGAGAGAAAAAGAAAGGGGGCCAUUGAGGAGAGAGAUAGAAAGGAUGCUUAAAGAGAAGGAGACAAUAAAGGAGAGGAGCUAGGAGGAAGGAGGAAGAGGGGCAAGAGGAGGAGAGGGCGAGGAGGAGAGCGAUGCGAGUUAGUCGUCACUCAUUCUACUGAAUCGCAACAUAAAAAUAUGACUUACUGUCACAUUCGUCGUAUGGAGUAGACCAAGGCGCAGCGGGAAUGUGUAUGCUCAUCUUCUUUAUUAUGAAGAAAAACCAAAACAAACACUUAAUCAAAACAACGACGAGAAAACAGUCCUGUGAGGCACACAGCUACACUUACGGAACAACAACCCAGAAAAACCCAUAGAAAAACACCCCUACUAAAUAGGACCUUCAAUUAGAGGCAACGAGGAACAGCUGCCUCCAAUUGAAGGUCAACCCAAUAAACUAAACAUAAAAAUAGAAAGACUAGAACGAACAUAGAAAUAACUAACAUAGAACAUUAACCAAAAACCCCGAAACACAUAAAACAAACACCCCCUGCCACGUCCUCACCAAACUACAAUAACAAAUAACCCCUUUACUGGUUAGGACGUGACACUUACAGCAUUAAACGAACGCAGCAUGAAAUUCCUUAACCUUCCACUAGUUCAAUGUUAAGUUAACAGUAGAUUCUUAUCAUCAAGAAAUGAUACUUUAUUAUUGUGGACUGAACUAUAGCAUGCUAGUUGCUAUCCCUGUUUUCUGAGAUAUGCUUGCCUGGAACUAUAAUGCUUCAGAGAUAUAGUUUCCUGGAAUUUGAGGACUUCCAAUGGCGGCCUUUGUUAUUGGUUGAGGUGUAUAAAAGCAUAGUGGUGAAAGGCUGUACCAUAAGCUACAUUCUACAGAGUUACAGAAGAGAGAGGUGUGAGGACUCUGUGGCUGGUACAGACCGUGUGGGUCAGGUGGGGUGAGGGUAGGGAGUGCAUUGUAUUAAAUCACUGCUCUGAGUUGCCCUUAAUUAAGAUCUAGAAUUACUUUACGCUCCCUUAAUUCAGUAUUUGCUAGCACGUAUUACAGUGCACAAGACUGACCUUAGAUUAGCAAAUGACUAUAGAGAGCAGUGUUUACCAGGACUUAAUUAUUAGGAGUGGCACUAUGUGGAUACUUCCACCUGCACCUUAAAAUAGAAAUGUUGCUUAUAGCCCAGAAAUUAUUCAUAGUGUGGGUAUCCAGUUAUGUCUUCCCAAAAUGGGCGUCAACAUGUCUACAGGCCAAACACUCCAAUAGGAGGUCGAUAGUCAAGUUUAGGAACGCUUCAAAUUGAUCUUUUCAGGUGAUGCGGUAUGUAGGCUAUACACUGAACAUUCGUUAUUUAGUGUGUCCAGUUGAAUGGAUUCAGCACUUACUUAUAACUGAAAAGGUUUGAGAUAUGAAGCAAGCUAUUUUGCUCAUUUGUGGCUUAUGAGGCUGUGCUGUAAUACUAUAAUAUCUGCUGUAAUACUGCAAGAUUCCAGUUGUAUGUGGUACAUUAAUAUGAAAACCCCCUUAAAACUGGGUUAAACCAUUUAAUGGUUUAAUUUCCCCUUCAAAGUCAUAUUUUGGCUAUCUUUAAGAUGAUCUCAUGGGGUUAAAUCAUUGAGUAAUGUGUUCCUAUAUUUGCAUCAAUCCCCCAUAGACUACAUAUCCUAAACCCACAUUAACUAUGGCCAAAACUCCAGACCGUUCACUUCAUACAUUAUUAAUGACUUUAGAAGACAUCCAAUUACAGUGUGUGCUCUUGGAGUAGAGGGGCCAGAGGACUAACAUUAACUGUGGUUUUUCACAAUAAAGCUUACAGAUAAACUUCUUUGAUAUGGAUGCACUGGGGAACUGGGAGAGAGUCAAAUCAAUAGCAGUGCAGUGCAGAGGAAUUUAUCAUUCAGCAAUUACAACCAAACCAUACAUUCCCACUCUUUUGGUUUAUGCCAAGUGUCUGGAGGGAAUGUUUCUACUGUCAGUAGGAGGAGAGAGGGAAGAGAGAAGAGAGAGAGAGAGACUUCUAGGAUCUGUGGGGGGUAAACAUCUCUGAGUGCUAUAGGGAGAUAUAUUUGAGAAAUGUGUUUUGUUGAGUUCUCAUGCAGCCCAACCUCUCUUAAUGCUAUUCUCUUAAGGCAGCUUAGUAAGGGGAUAGCAGAAUAAUAUUUGGUGCCUAUAUGGAAUUACCCUGUGAGACUUUGGGGAAUAAUCUACUACCAAUAUUUGUUUUUUGAAAGGGGGAAGAUUUUUUAUUUGAAUGCCGGUUUCACGGUUUUUCAGUUGUAAUCAGAACAAUUUCAAUGGCUUUAUUCUUUUGAGCUUAUUUUCAACUUUAACAACCUCCUUUCAUUGCCUUCAGGGUCUGCACAGUGGGGCAAAACGGACCUGUGAACUUUAGGCAUGAAAUUAGACUGAUGAGUUUAAGUUCUUCACAGCAAGUCCUUCACAGCCCCUUGCUGUAUUUCUGGUAUAUAUUGCCAUAUGUAGCGUUGGCUAUAAUUAAAAGAUACAUGCAAAUAGUAGAAAUAUACAGUUUUAUUAGUUUGUGUUAUUCUGUAAAAGUUGUAAAAGGUUUAGUUCACUAUUGUACAACUUGAUUUUAAAUGGUUCCUCACCCUGAAAGUAGUCUAUGGGCCAAGAGAAUCUAUAAUUCAUGGAUAAGUU
Non-coding RNA from Salmo salar (Atlantic salmon), 4198 nucleotides. The record is from RefSeq and is a predicted model, not a curated record. Lineage: Eukaryota; Metazoa; Chordata; Actinopteri; Salmoniformes; Salmonidae.